CAGUGCAUGGGGUAAGACCUAUGCUUUUCUAGACUCUAAAAAGGUCUUGGAAUAAGAGGUGGGUAAGGACGGUGCCAGCCGCCGCGGUAAUACCGGCGCCUCAAGUGGUAGUCGCUUUUAUUGGGCCUAAAACGUCCGUAGCCGGUCUGAUACAUUCGUGGGUAAAUCAACCAGCUUAACUGGUUGAAUUCUGCGAGGACGGUCAGACUUGGGACCGGGAGAGGUGUGGGGUACGCUCAGGGUAGGGGUAAAAUCCUGUCAUCCUGAGCGGACCACCUGUUGCGAAGGCGCCACACUAGAACGGAUCCGACGGUCAGGGACGAAGCCUAGGGGCACGAACCGGAUUAAAUACCCGGGUAGUCCUAGGUGUAAACGCUGUGGACUUGAUGUUGGGGGUGCUCCGAGCACUCUCAGUGUCGAAGCGAAGGUGAUAAGUCCACUGCCUGGGAAGUACGGUCGCAAGGCUGAAACUUAAAG
RNAcentral lists this ribosomal RNA (477 nucleotides) under uncultured archaeon. Its description in RNAcentral is "bacterial SSU rRNA". It matches the Rfam family "Archaeal small subunit ribosomal RNA", at positions 383 to 861 of the family's 1478-position model. The record is from RNAcentral.